UACGUAGGGUGCGAGCGUUAAUCGGAAUUACUGGGCGUAAAGCGUGCGCAGGCGGUUUUGUAAGGCAGAUGUGAAAUCCCCGGGCUCAACCUGGGAAUGGCAUUUGGGACUGCAAGGCUGGAGUUUGGCAGAGGAGACUGGAAUUCCUGGUGUAGCAGUGAAAUGCGUAGAUAUCAGGAGGAAUACCGAUGGCGAAGGCAGGUCUCUGGGCUAUAACUGACGCUCAUGCACGAAAGCGUGGGGAGCAAACAGG
Molecule: ribosomal RNA, 253 nt
Filed under: uncultured bacterium
Lineage: Bacteria
Description: partial 16S ribosomal RNA
Rfam family: Bacterial small subunit ribosomal RNA
Source: RNAcentral